AGGUCCCUCAUCAAGGCUGAGCUUCAGACCCUACUGAAGCAGCAGCGCCUCAGCCAAGGCUGGCAGGAGAGCGCCCUUUGGGAGCUGCAGCAGGAGCCGUCCACACUGGCAAGGAACCGUCCCACUGGCAAGGAGCUGUCCACGCUGGCAAGGCCCUCAGAGGCCACUAGGAGCUGUUUGCUGGGCACCACUGAAACUGCGGGCUGGAAGCUCCUCUGGGUGUCCUGAGGGCCAGGCCAGUGAGUGCCGCAGGGGCAGAAGUCGUGGUAUCCUGAAGACUAGAGAUGAUUCAACAGCCGGUGACCCUCCCUCACUGGGACUCUCACCGGGCCCGACCUGUUUUCCGACGCCAAGGCACCGCUGCUGAAGCCAGACAACCCCAAGCACCCUCCCUAAGGCUCAGGGACCAUCGCGGAAGAGGAGGGCAGGGGACCCUCCUGACAAGGCACAAAGGAAAACCUGGAACGGCCCUGAAAGAGAAGGAAGGCUCAUGCGGGCACAGCAGGAGGUGCCAACAUCACAUCCUACACUCAAGAAGAACGUUUUCCAGCUGAAGGAGGCCUGGGGAUCUGCUGUCCCUAUCCGCAGGAAGCACCGCACAGCUGGAUAGGGAAGAAACAGGAUCUUUAAAGUCCUAGUCAGUCCCAAGGGCUGAGCCACCCCUGCAGCCCACCUCCCUCCCGACCUGCCCAGGGCUCACCCAGGUGGGGGCUUUGCUGCCACUAAACCUGGACCCAGAAGGACAGAGGGGAGGGGUAGAAACCAGCACGAGCUGCAUCCAGGGAAGCUGCAGUCUCCGUUUAUACAAAACUUCCUUCAAAACAGGAGGAAGGAGGAGCAGAUGCCGAAGGAGCGGUGAGGUGGUUGUCUGAGAAGAUGACCACAGCAGAUGGCAGACAGGAACAGCCCGCCCAAGAGGGCUGGAGUUCAAUGCUUGUCAAAGCCCCAGCUGGCUGGCCGGGUGCAGUGGCUCAUGCCUGUAAUCCUGGCACUCUGGGAGGCCAAGGUGGGAGGAUCCCCUGAGGCCAGGAGUUGGAGAUCAGCCUGGGCAACAUAGUAGACCCCCAUUCUAUAAAUAAAUAAAUAAAUAAAUAAAUAAAUAAAUAAGUUGGGUGUGGUGGCACGUGCCUGUUGUCCCAGCUACUUGGGAGGCUGAGGUGGGAGGAUCACUUGAGUCUGAGAGGGCAAGGCUUCAGUGAGCCAUGAUCGUGCCACUGCACUCUAUCCUGGGUGACAGAACAAGACCCUAUCUCAAAGAUAAAUGAAUAAAUAUAAGACCACCAGCCAUCACCCCAAACCACUGGGAGAAGAGGACAUGGUGCCGGGAGGGCCACGGGCGUGCCGAGGGCUGCAUGCCCAUCAGCACAUCAGCGAGGGAGUUUUUGAGGGAAGGUGGCUUGCAGCCAAAAUUCAAAAUGUGCCUCUCUUAUCUAGACGGGUGACAGAGGAUGCAAAACCACGUACAGCAGGGUGGCGGCCUGGCCAGGUGGGGCUUUGAGGCCUUUGAAAGUAACAAGCCAGCUCUGCACCUGCUAGCCCCCAAAAUACUCAGAAAUUAUCACAAAGAAAGAGGAGGGUGACGGUGCGGCAGCUCAUGCCUGUAAUCCCAGCAGUUUGGGAAGCUGAGGCAGAGGAUUACUUGAGCCCAGGAGUUUGAGACCAGCCAGAGCAACAUAGUGAGACCCCAUGUCUACAAAAUAAAAAUAAUAAACAAAUAAAUAAGAAUGAAAGAAGACAGAGACACAUGGCUGGCAUGUCCUGGGGAUGCCCACUGGUGCCUGUGUCCCGGGGAUGCCCGCUGGUGCCUGCUGUAGAGUGGAGAGUUGAACUGCACUGUGGCUUAUGCCCUUUGGAACCAGAGCAGGGAGAGGACUUCCUGUUACCCAGGGUCCUCCCAUGGAAUUGGAAUGUACAUCAAUUCUCUAUCUGGUCACCCCAAAAGAGAUGGGUGUCAUUGGCUCUCUGGACUCCUGGCUGCUCCCCUCCCCUCCAGGCGUAUGUGGCAUCCCACGGCCUGCUUUUCCUAAGGGAUCCAGAGGCCCAGCAUGGAGUCCCCAGCUGAGUCCACGAGGAGGAUGAAGGGAGGGGAGGCUGCCCAGGCCGGAACUCAAAGUCUAGGUCCCCUAACCCUGGACCCCCAGGCCCUGCUCACAGCUGGGCAGGAGCCCGUGGAGGGAACCACGGAGCUCAGAAGCCCACCCCCACCCUCUCCAGGGACUGUCCCGGCUGGCCCUGCCCUGUGUGGACCACCGCAAGCUGGAAGAAACCCAGGCUUUCCUGGGCACUGCAGGAGACUGGCUUGUAGGCCUGCUGGCAUUGGUGUGGAGGCAGUGGUAGCAUGACAGGCUUCAGUUUGCAGGAGGAGGGGUGAGGGCAGAGCCAUGGGCUCCGAGCACACCUGGGUCUGGGCCCAGCCACUACCAUGUGAAGAUGCCCAAAGACCCCAAGCUCAUAGCACCUCAGGUGACACCCUCAACCCUGAGCACACAUUCUCCACCCUGGGGCCGGUGUUCACAGCCGUGGGUGUGAAGCCACAUAGCAUCCCACUCCGCUGCAGGGUCACAGGGCAAAAUGCACUCAGCACAGCAGGCCUGCGUUGUCCUCAAGGAAACAUGCGCCUUACACCACAGAGACACAGCUGGCCUUUCCUUCCACCCCGUCCU
This 2663-nucleotide long non-coding RNA is filed under the name Homo sapiens (human). RNAcentral's name for it is "HSALNT0145276". Lineage: Eukaryota; Metazoa; Chordata; Mammalia; Primates; Hominidae. The record is from RNAcentral.